GACGAACGCUGGCGGCGUGCUUAACACAUGCAAGUCGAACGGAAAGGCCCUGCUUUUGUGGGGUGCUCGAGUGGCGAACGGGUGAGUAACACGUGAGUAACCUGCCCUUGACUUUGGGAUAACUUCAGGAAACUGGGGCUAAUACCGGAUAGGAGCUCCUGCUGCAUGGUGGGGGUUGGAAAGUUUCGGCGGUUGGGGAUGGACUCGCGGCUUAUCAGCUUGUUGGUGGGGUAGUGGCUUACCAAGGCUUUGACGGGUAGCCGGCCUGAGAGGGUGACCGGCCACAUUGGGACUGAGAUACGGCCCAGACUCCUACGGGAGGCAGCAGUGGGGAAUAUUGCACAAUGGGCGGAAGCCUGAUGCAGCAACGCCGCGUGCGGGAUGACGGCCUUCGGGUUGUAAACCGCUUUCGCCUGUGACGAAGCGUGAGUGACGGUAAUGGGUAAAGAAGCACCGGCUAACUACGUGCCAGCAGCCGCGGUGAUACGUAGGGUGCGAGCGUUGUCCGGAUUUAUUGGGCGUAAAGGGCUCGUAGGUGGUUGAUCGCGUCGGAAGUGUAAUCUUGGGGCUUAACCCUGAGCGUGCUUUCGAUACGGGUUGACUUGAGGAAGGUAGGGGAGAAUGGAAUUCCUGGUGGAGCGGUGGAAUGCGCAGAUAUCAGGAGGAACACCAGUGGCGAAGGCGGUUCUCUGGGCCUUUCCUGACGCUGAGGAGCGAAAGCGUGGGGAGCGAACAGGCUUAGAUACCCUGGUAGUCCACGCUGUAAACGGUGGGUACUAGGUGUGGGGUCCAUUCCACGGGUUCCGUGCCGUAGCUAACGCUUUAAGUACCCCGCCUGGGGAGUACGGCCGCAAGGCUAAAACUCAAAGGAAUUGACGGGGCCCCGCACAAGCGGCGGAGCAUGCGGAUUAAUUCGAUGCAACGCGUAGAACCUUACCUGGGUUUGACAUGGAUCGGGAGUGCUCAGAGAUGGGUGUGCCUCUUUUGGGGUCGGUUCACAGGUGGUGCAUGGCUGUCGUCAGCUCGUGUCGUGAGAUGUUGGGUUAAGUCCCGCAACGAGCGCAACCCUUGUUCACUGUUGCCAGCACGUUAUGGUGGGGACUCAGUGGAGACCGCCGGGGUCAACUCGGAGGAAGGUGGGGAUGACGUCAAGUCAUCAUGCCCCUUAUGUCCAGGGCUUCACGCAUGCUACAAUGGCUGGUACAGAGAGUGGCGAGCCUGUGAGGGUGAGCGGAUCUCGGAAAGCCGGUCUCAGUUCGGAUUGGGGUCUGCAACUCGACCUCAUGAAGUCGGAGUCGCUAGUAAUCGCAGAUCAGCAACGCUGCGGUGAAUACGUUCCCGGGGC
Molecule: ribosomal RNA, 1345 nt
Filed under: uncultured bacterium
Lineage: Bacteria
Description: partial 16S ribosomal RNA
Rfam family: Bacterial small subunit ribosomal RNA
Source: RNAcentral